AAAAAAAUGUGGAGAAAUUUAGAAAUGUAUAAUGGCAGGGAACUCCCGUAAGCAAAAUUUUAUUAAUAAUUAUUAUACUUAAAAAAAAAAAAAUCCUCAAAUUCUUACCCACCUGUUACAAAAAUAGUUAUUUCCUUCCUGCUACGUAGGGUUUGUCUCUGUUCCCUGGGGGACUUGCUAUAGAUCUCUACUGACCUUGUGAUGGGAUGCACAGUCUCCUGAUCUCGCUGUGGGAAACCUCUUAACGAAGCUUGCAUGCUAAUUACCCCUCAGCUGCAAGCACAGGCGUUUCAUCCUCUGCCUAGUGAAAGGGCUAACCCUCCUCGACACAUUCACUACACCAGUGAUUCUGGAGCAACAUCCUGACCCUUAAUACUGUCAGUUCCAAGCUGAGAAAUCCUUGAUAAGGUGAGCAGAUGUCACUGGAAUCGUUAGAUGACGUGCCUAGAGUUCUGCAAGACCAUUUGCUGAAGUUUUUUUUUUUUUAUGCACCAUUGAUUGACAGGAAAAAAAAAAAACCAAAAAAAAAAAAAUCCGUUUUUUUUCUCUUUGCUUUCCAAGUCUCUCUGUGCAAUGACUGACUCUUUGAUACUGUCACUUUUUUUAAAAGUAAACCAAACAAGCCCUCGUGUUUCAGCUCCAAGGGGGCUCCCGUCUGUUCUCGGCUCCCAGCCGUGGUGCUGUCAUAGGUUCAUGCGCAAGUGCUCUGGUCGUUUGGAGAUCAUGGGGAAAGCUUGUUUUUUGUAGGGCCCAGAGUUUGGCUGCCGGAUUGGAAGCGGUGCUGAAGCCUCUCCACACACUGUCACAUCCAUUUGUUCUAUCCCACUCGUCUCCAUCGGGUAUUCCACAGGUGGCUGAGCGGUCGAUGCGCCGGCAGAAGCACCUCUUCCCCAGAAUUCCCCGGGGGAAAACUUGACGGGGCUUUAAAACAAGAAACACACAGAUCAGAGCUGGAGAUACGGCACCGAGGGGGAUCUGUUACUCUGCAGGAAGCUCAAAUGCCUAUUGAGAAGCAUUUCUAAUUCUUCCUUCCACUUCCAGAAGUUUGAGAAAUUUCCACGGGGAGCUUCUACCACUGUCUCUUGUAAAGUACAUUCCUGUCAUCUGAGGAUGCAUUUCUAGUACCAAGAUAUUGCUGAAUCCUUCCAGUUUGCAAAUCUGAGCAAAGAGCACUGACUGCACUGACAUGAUUCUUUCUGGACUAACACGAUUCUUUAGCAGCACAAAGCUCUUAGGAUGUUCUGAAACAGUUCUAGAGGGAUGGUGAACCAAAGUCACCAGAGUGGGGCUGCAUCAGCACUAAAAAGCAGCAAAUUAGUACUUCCUGUGCUGCCAAACCCCACACAUUUGUCACGAUAACGUGGUUUGUAAAACAGGGUCGAUCCUGUAACUCGAACGAAGUGCUGGGCUGAGAAGCAAGGCUGCAUUCUGAAUUUCUACUUGUCAAAAGGUGUGUUACAAAAAAAAAAAAGGAAAGAAGGAAAAAGAAGGAAUAAAAGAGAGGUACCUGACUGGUGUCCUUGGGCUACCGAUGAACCUGCGAGGGGAGCGGAUUUUUGGUUCAAAAGAAAAUUUCUCUUUUACGCUUUCAAGUACUGAUGGAGCCACGUAGGUAAAACCCUGCAAGACAGCAAGGGAGGCAACAUUCACCCUGGGGAUCACUCUGCAGUGACCACAUGAAAACCUGAUGAUGAUCAGAAAAUUACAAAAGGAAGAGUAAAUGCAGACAUAGGAACUUCUACUCCUCGAAGCGAACAGUGGGACUUUGGGGAGUUCCCAACCUGAUGCUCCAACCCGGCUAUUUCUGCUCCCAGACUCCCACAGGCACACUCACUUUAAUUAAUUUUGCUCUAUGGACUGGACAUUGUUCCCCCUGCAUGACUGUGAAAGCAACCCCGUGGCCAGGGUUCAGAAUGCAGCUCUGAAUCACAGUGCUGACAUUCCACAAAGGAGGCACCGUUUGCUGGCUGGUGCAUAAAGAAAACGUCAGAGAUAGCAAAGUGUCCUCAGAGCCCUUCAACAUCUCCAACCUGUCACAGAGUUUGGGUCCAGUGAUGAGGGUUUGCUUUGAAUAUCAGGCAGGAUUCCAGAGAAUUAAUUUAGCUGCAGUGCCCCCCUGCUCCCAGUAAAAACCUCCCUCUCCAGCCAUUCCUCACUCACCAGAAAGACCUGGUUGGCACUUUCACUGAGAGUUGAGUCAUCUGGGCUAUCAACAGGUGUCUGACGUGUAAACUUUGAAUCAAACUGGCUCACAUCCUCUUCAGAUUGCUUUGCAAAAACAAAAUGGUUAAGGGUUUAUAUUACAGAUAUCAACCAGUGCAGCCUCUGGGUGGAGUUCAUUCCAUAGGUUUUUGGCAGAGCUCUGCUGGAGUAAAACCCUGGAGUGGUGUCGGAAUCCUGUCGCUGCCAGUGGGAGGUCACUAUGGGCACUGACACUGAGAAAUAAAGGCAAGGGGGAGGGGCAAAAAUUAUGGAUCAAAAAGGAACACAAAUUAAAAAGACGCCUUUAAAAAAAAAAUUAAAAAAAUCUCAAAUUACAAACAGAAACUUUCAGAAUGACAAUGCCAGUUUCUUGCCAAGUUCAGCCCUCGUCACAACCAGAACAGUUGCAACUCUCAGAAUUUGGAACCUCUCCAGAUAAUUUAAUCCCAUUUUUGCAGAUACAGAAGUGUUUACACUGUGAGGGAUGGAGGACAACUCUGGAAUAAGUGAUUAUGAAUAUUGUUUAAUUUGGCCACAGAACAACAGUAACUCCAAGUUUCCUUCUCUCAUUCUUUGUGGAAAUGCAACGGAUUCAUUUGUGUGAACCCUCAUGAAACAUUUGGAAAAAACCACCUGGUUUGUACAAGUAACUUUCAUAGCAUUGCUAAUAACAGAAAAACCCCAAAUCAUCUUCAAUAAUUCAUUCAGAAAUACCAGUCUUGAGUCUUUCUGAAUUUCAUUCAAAAGGGUGAAGGGAAAAAGGUCUGCAGUCCCCAUGCUGGAGCUGCUGGACAUCAGUGAUGCCUGAGCCAGUUUAAAGUGAGAUUUUUAGUAGUUGGGAACUAUGGGGGUGGCAAAAGCCACUGCUGCUGUAGCUAAUUGUACCCAGAGGGAAAAACAGACCUCAAAAUAUAAGAUGGGAUAAUAGAGAUUCAUUCAUCACAUCACUGGUUUGAGGUAAACUAUGACUGCUGCUCAGAAUGCACGAGAUGCACUGUAAAUGUUAAUAACCAAACACAGAAAAUGCUUAAUUAGGUGGCUUCAUUGACUUUUGCUUAGCAGCUAUUUCUCAUUUUAGUUGAAACUAAGUACUGACUGACUGUAGAGGGUUCAGAAGCAGAGAUUCAGAGUGAGCUGCACUUGCAAGUCUGUUUAACCUCCAGGUGAGAAGCAGGAGGAAUUCAAAGGGAAGCAGAUCAGGGGGCAGGGCAGAUCUGCCUCUGACCUGACAGCAGUGAAUCUGUCACCCAAGCUGUGACCUAAGUCCCAGGAAUCAGUGACACUCCAGUCUGUAAUCCCACAUCAAGACCUCUCCUAAAGGCACAGAGGGAGCAUCUCCCAGCACUCCCAGUACAUACCAAUAAGGGUUUAAAAGGAGGUUCCACCUUUCGUGCCAACAGCUCGUCCCAGUUGAUGUGUCUGAAGAAGGGGUGAGCCUGCAGGGUUACAACAGCACAGUCAGCACCUCCUCUGGGGCACAAACCACCCAAAUUUAACCACUAACAGGGGCUUCUCAGCCCCUUUCCCUGGUGGCUUUCCUUCCAAAAUCACAGCUGGGUUCAGUACAGUAUAUUCUACAUCAGAAGAGCUGAGAAUUGAUACCACACCUCCAAGUCAGACACCUCCUGUCCCUGCAAUGUUUUCCUUGAAAGGGUUAGAAAAAGUCAGUUCACAGGCAAAAUACCUCAACUUUUAAAGUUAGAUACCUAAAAACCAUGCCAAAACAUUGCAUUAAUGACAAGUUAUCAGAACUGGGAAAUGAGGAGGACUCUCUAAUAUGCUGUUAAUGGCACAACAAAAACAAAAGUCAAGCUGGAGGCAAUGGGGACUGAGCCUCUGCCUUAGUUUUUAGCUAACUUUUCCCUUGGAAUAGCUGCACUAAUGCUGGCAGGGUUUUCAUCAGCUGAGAGCAUCAUCACCCUUACAGGGCUGCACAAUUAGCAGUGUACAGCUGGUGGAAAAGAUCUGCUGGAAGGCAGAGCUAAAGAGCAGAAGUUAUCUUCCAAAUCUCCAAUUAUCCAGCAGGUAGGCAGCUGCUUUUGUGCAGCUUUAAAGCUUUCAGAUUUUGACCAGCUGUCACAUGUGGCAGCCUUUCUGCUCAUUACCCUUCAAGACAGACAGACAGACAGACUCUCCUGCCCUGAUAGACCCUCAGAGCUGUUUUCUCCUCAGUGAGGUAAUUUAAGAGUUCUUGAGUUAAGUGCAAGUUACCUGAACUUCUCCAGCAUCUCCAGGACCAGCUCCUAGACGUGAGGCAGCAUUUCUUUUUAGCAGCUUCAUGAGAAACAACAUCCAAAAAAGCAGAAUUAGUUGUGCUGUUAUGACUAGACUAGUCCUGACGUGAAUCAUCUCUUGAAUGAGCACCAUGCAGAAUGAAUACAGAAUGACCAGAAAAUCUGCAUUUGUUAGAAAACGACUGUAUUUCCAAGGAAAAUCACUUUCUGUACCACAGAAUACAAUACUGACUGCUUUAGUAAUAAAUCAAGCUUGGACUGAGCAGCCAUAGUGGUAUCCCUGUAUUUUUAUUUCCUCCAAAAUAUACAGCACUGACAGGCAUUAAAACUGUACCUUUUUAAGCAGAUCUCUGGCUUCUUGUGUGAGGUAGGGAGGCAAGUUGAGUUUACACUUGAGAAUCUUGUCAAUUGUCUUCUUUCUGUUCUCCCCAGUGAAAGGAGGCUGGAAAGCACCAUUGGAAGGGGAGGAAAAACAGGACUUGUUCAGAUCUCUUUUUUGUGCAUGCACAGCUCACUUCAGUCAUUCACAAAGCAGGAAAAGUUAAUGCAAACAGGACUUGAAAAUCACUCUUUGGAUAAAAGCAGCUCAAGGCUGUGGCGAACACAACUUAUUUCUUACUUGCAGUCUGCAUUAUAUAUAAAUUAUAUAUAAA
Chiroxiphia lanceolata (lance-tailed manakin) is the source of this 5089-nucleotide long non-coding RNA. RefSeq lists it as uncharacterized. The transcript has 3 exons. The record is from RefSeq and is a predicted model, not a curated record. NCBI's taxonomy places the organism in Eukaryota, Metazoa, Chordata, Aves, Passeriformes, Pipridae.